GUGAAGACAUUUUCAGUCUGAGUAUAUCUAGUCUGAUUGAUUGCGAAUGACUCGGCCAACUCUUCGAUUUGCAGCAGUCUUAGUCCUCCUCGAUCCCCUUCCCCCCUCGCUCUAUCUCUCUCUUCAAUGGUUUCUUGUAUAAACCUGGCUUGAUUCUGCACUCUCCAACUUGAUUGUGGCGUAGGAUUAUUUUCAGUUCUUGAGGUUGAAUUGAUGGUGGAAGGGCUUUUCGGCGGCUUGAAUUUUUAGCCUUUAGCUUUCAAGGAUAACCUUGAUUCCUCACCAAUCGGCCUGAAGGUCUUCGGACAUGACACGAAGUUAAGGAUUAUUGGGUGUUUCUUAAAGGAAUGUCGUGAUUAUUCUUGUCGAGCCAGGAAUUUGGGUCGGCAGUAUCAACUGUUGAAGGGGAGGAA
RNAcentral lists this long non-coding RNA (413 nucleotides) under Physcomitrium patens. Its description in RNAcentral is "long non-coding RNA (PPAT_LNC014514)". The record is from RNAcentral. Lineage: Eukaryota; Viridiplantae; Streptophyta; Bryopsida; Funariales; Funariaceae.